GAGCGGCGGACGGGUGAGUAAUGCCUAGGAAAUUGCCCUGAUGUGGGGGAUAACCAUUGGAAACGAUGGCUAAUACCGCAUAAUGCCUACGGGCCAAAGAGGGGGACCUUCGGGCCUCUCGCGUCAGGAUAUGCCUAGGUGGGAUUAGCUAGUUGGUGAGGUAAUGGCUCACCAAGGCGACGAUCCCUAGCUGGUCUGAGAGGAUGAUCAGCCACACUGGAACUGAGACACGGUCCAGACUCCUACGGGAGGCAGCAGUGGGGAAUAUUGCACAAUGGGCGCAAGCCUGAUGCAGCCAUGCCGCGUGUGUGAAGAAGGCCUUCGGGUUGUAAAGCACUUUCAGUCGUGAGGAAGGUGGUAGUGUUAAUAGCACUAUCAUUUGACGUUAGCGACAGAAGAAGCACCGGCUAACUCCGUGCCAGCAGCCGCGGUAAUACGGAGGGUGCGAGCGUUAAUCGGAAUUACUGGGCGUAAAGCGCAUGCAGGUGGUUUGUUAAGUCAGAUGUGAAAGCCCGGGGCUCAACCUCGGAAUAGCAUUUGAAACUGGCAGACUAGAGUACUGUAGAGGGGGGUAGAAUUUCAGGUGUAGCGGUGAAAUGCGUAGAGAUCUGAAGGAAUACCGGUGGCGAAGGCGGCCCCCUGGACAGAUACUGACACUCAGAUGCGAAAGCGUGGGGAGCAAACAGGAUUAGAUACCCUGGUAGUCCACGCCGUAAACGAUGUCUACUUGGAGGUUGUGGCCUUGAGCCGUGGCUUUCGGAGCUAACGCGUUAAGUAGACCGCCUGGGGAGUACGGUCGCAAGAUUAAAACUCAAAUGAAUUGACGGGGGCCCGCACAAGCGGUGGAGCAUGUGGUUUAAUUAGAUGCAACGCGAAGAACCUUACCUACUCUUGACAUCCAGAGAACUUUCCAGAGAUGGAUUGGUGCCUUCGGGAACUCUGAGACAGGUGCUGCAUGGCUGUCGUCAGCUCGUGUUGUGAAAUGUUGGGUUAAGUCCCGCAACGAGCGCAACCCUUAUCCUUGUUUGCCAGCGAGUAAUGUCGGGAACUCCAGGGAGACUGCCGGUGAUAAACCGGAGGAAGGUGGGGACGACGUCAAGUCAUCAUGGCCCUUACGAGUAGGGCUACACACGUGCUACAAUGGCGCAUACAGAGGGCAGCAAGCUAGCGAUAGUGAGCGAAUCCCAAAAAGUGCGUCGUAGUCCGGAUUGGAGUCUGCAACUCGACUCCAUGAAGUCGGAAUCGCUAGUAAUCGUGGAUCAGAAUGCCACGGUGAAUACGUUCCCGGGCCUUGUACACACCGCCCGUCACACCAUGGGAGUGGG
Molecule: ribosomal RNA, 1325 nt
Filed under: Vibrio sp. 2A12
Lineage: Bacteria; Pseudomonadati; Pseudomonadota; Gammaproteobacteria; Vibrionales; Vibrionaceae
Description: bacterial SSU rRNA
Rfam family: Bacterial small subunit ribosomal RNA
Source: RNAcentral